Molecule: non-coding RNA, 165 nt
Organism: Alligator mississippiensis (American alligator)
Lineage: Eukaryota; Metazoa; Chordata; Crocodylia; Alligatoridae
Source: Rfam
AAGGAUACCUGGUAGGGGAGAUACCAUGAUCACCACAGUAGGUUUCCCAGAGUGAGGCCUGUCCCUUGCAUACUAGGCAUGCUGACCCCUGCAAAUUUCCCCAUAGGCAGGACUUGACUGCACAAUUUUGUGGUAAUGGUGGACUGCUUAUUUAAUUUCUCCCCC